GGCGGCGUGCCUAACACAUGCAAGUCGAGCGGAAAGGCCUCCUUCGGGAGGUACUCGAGCGGCGAACGGGUGAGUAACACGUGGGCAACCAACCCCUCACAUCGGGAUACCCCGGGGAAACUCGGAUCAAUACCGGAUAAUGCGCGACGCUGUUGGGCGUCGCACCAAAGGUAGCUUCGGCCUCUGGUGAGGGACGGGCCCGCGGCCCAUUAACUUGUUGGUGGGGUAAUGGCCUACCAAGGCAACGAUGGGUANCUGGUCUGAGAAGAUGAUCANCCACACUGGGACUGAGAUACGGCCAGACUCCUACCGGAGGCAGCAGUGGGGAAUAUUGCGCAAUGGGCGGAAGCCUGACGCANCAACNCCCCUGCGGGAAGAAGGCUUCCGGUC
This 390-nucleotide ribosomal RNA is filed under the name uncultured Actinomycetes bacterium. Its description in RNAcentral is "bacterial SSU rRNA". It matches the Rfam family "Bacterial small subunit ribosomal RNA", at positions 38 to 423 of the family's 1533-position model. The record is from RNAcentral. Lineage: Bacteria; Bacillati; Actinomycetota; Actinomycetes.